CUCCUCGUACAGGAAGUAGAAGAUGUUUUGUUUGGGGGCCUCAUCGUCCUCCUCCAUGUCAUUGGCCAGAUAGCUGAGGACAGAAAUCAGGUUGCUGCUCAGGGGCACCACCAGGAGAGACCUCCGGCUGAGGUCAGCUUCUCAGAGAGGAAGGUAAGGGACCGUCCCUAGCUCAGGACUGGCACCCACCCUGCAGAGAGCCAUGCCUUCCUCAGGAGGGCUCUGCUGGACAGAGACCUGAUCAAGGGCGUCUCCCACUCCUUCAGGAUGGAGACAAAAACCCAACUGGUGACCAAGAGUGGUGGCUUAUGCCUGGAAUCCCAGCACACUGGGAGGCCGAAGCAGGAGGAUCACUUGAGGCCAGGAGUUUGAGACAGGCCUGGGCAACAUAGCAAGACCCUCGUCUCUAUUAAAAAUAUAAAAAAUACACCAGACGCGGUGGCUCAUGCCUGUAAUCCCAGCGCUUUGGAAGGCUGAAGCAGGUGGAUUGCUUGAGACCAGGAGUUUGAGACCAGCCUGGUCAACACAGAGAAACCCCAUCUAUACUAAAAAUACAAAAAUCAGCCUGGUGCGGUGGCACACCCAUUAGUCCUAGCUACUCAAGAGGCUGAAGCAUAAGAAUUGUGUGAACCCAGGAGGCGGAGGUUGCAGUGAGCCAAGAUUGGGCCCCUCCAUUCCAGCCUGAGAGACACAGCAACACUCUUGUCUUGAUAAAUAAAUAAAUAAAUAAAUAAAUAAAUAAAUAAAUAACUGUCCAGGUGUGGUGGUACAGCCCUGUAGUCGGAGCUAAUCAAGAGGCUGAGGUGGGAGGAUCGCUUGAGCCCAGGAUAUGGAGGCUGCGGUGAGCUAUGAUCUCACCACUGCACUCCAGCUUAGGGGACAGGGCAAGUCUGUCUCAAAAAAAAAAAAAAAUAAAUGAAAGGCUGGAAUCCCACUUCCCCCGCUGUCCCAGG
RNAcentral lists this long non-coding RNA (953 nucleotides) under Homo sapiens (human). Its description in RNAcentral is "HSALNT0124396". Lineage: Eukaryota; Metazoa; Chordata; Mammalia; Primates; Hominidae. The record is from RNAcentral.